Cottoperca gobio is the source of this 1838-nucleotide RNA transcript. It is a transcript of the gene named hydroxypyruvate isomerase, with no coding region annotated. NCBI's taxonomy places the organism in Eukaryota, Metazoa, Chordata, Actinopteri, Perciformes, Bovichtidae. The transcript has 10 exons. The record is from RefSeq and is a predicted model, not a curated record.
UGCUACCGGUCAUGUGACAAUAACAAAACUCUACGUAUGGCCACUGGUCAGACCACCCUCUAAACGUGUAACUUCUGUUGAUACUGUAUUUAAACUACCAUUUGAAAAGCACAAUGCGAUAAUUAAUACAGCUACAAGAAGAAUGUAAGUCUCCCCGGCUGUUAAUCACCGGGGUAAAGUGCAGCACACACGAAAGGUCUUUGGCCUCUACAGUUAGACCGGGAUGGCGCCGCUUAAAUUAUGUGCGAAUAUUUCAUGGCUGUUCACGGAGCUUCCAGACUUCAGUCAGAGAAUCUACGCUGCUGCCUCGGCUGGCUUUCAGGCGGUGGAGGCAGCCUGGCUCUACGACUGCGACCUGCAGGAGCUGCAGAGAGCCAGAGAGGCUGCAGGAGUGGAGGUGAUCCUCAUCAACACCCCGCCCGGAGAUGUAAAGGAAGGGGAUCUUGGUCUUGGAGCUGUUCCUGGGAGAGAGGAAGAGUUCAGACAGGGUCUGGAUCUGGCUUUGAAGUAUGCAAAAGCUUUGGACUGCAAAAGGAUCCACCUGAUGGCAGGACGGGUUCCCGUGGGUUCACACAGACUAGCGGUUGCCAAGGAGAUGGAGGCCGUCUUUGUGCACAACCUAAACUAUGCUGCUGAUAUCCUCUCAAAGGAAGGAAUCACUGGUUUGAUUGAACCAAUCAACACGAGGAUUACGGAUCCCAGGUAUUUUCUGGACUCUCCUCAUCAGGGUAAAUACAACUCAUGUCUGGCAUACAGUAUAUCUCAAAACAGCUGCAAUACUGGAGAAGGUUGGGAAGCCCAACAUCAAGCUGCAGAUGGACGUCUUUCACUGGCAAAUAAUGGAUGGAAACCUGACACAAAACAUACACAAGUAUUUUCCUAUAAUUGGUCAUGUUCAGGUUGCUCAGGUUCCAGGCAGGAAUGAGCCCGAUAGUGCCGGAGAGCUCAACUCCAGCUAUCUGUUCAACUUGCUGGAAAACCUCGACUACCAGGGAUACAUCGGCUGUGAAUACAAGCCACUGGGCUCCACAAAGGAGGGUCUUGGUUGGAUCAAAGAUUACUGCACACGCAGCAAGUGAUGAUCAGUGUCCAGUCACACAGCUGUUUGUUUCAAGUGUUCUGCUUAAAGGCAGGCUCGUUAACUUCUUCCACUAACAAUAUUUGUACAUUUAAGUGUAUUAAUUUAUGACUUAAUUCUACUGUAAAACAUUUUUACUAUGUAGAUAUUAAGCAUUUUACUAAAUUGUGAUAAUUAUACAACCAGACUCGUUUCUGCACCCAGUGCUGCUGGAUAUCAGAGAGGAUGCAGGUUUAAUGCACAUCAGCAUUUGCCUCACUUUUCAGAGCCGGAGUCUUGAUUCUGUCGAAAUAAUGCAAAACCAUCAUGAAACCAAAAUAUAUGAAAUAAUUCUGCCAUUUGGUUUCAGAUUGUUUUCUCUCAAGAGAACACAUGACAAGUGAUUUACAGAGAACAAGUAUGUUGCAGCAGACAAGAAAAAAUGCAAUUUAUUUCAGUUAGCCAGAUGUCAGGAAUUGAAAAUCAAGACAAAUCAAUGUUUAUCAAAUAGAGCUCAGUGAUCCAUGUAUGACAAACAUACUUACAAUGAUUCUCAUACAUCCUACUGCUUUAUUUAGCAUUUCAUACUGUAUAAAGUGUUCUGUAUAUACAUAAUAUACAUAAUACAGUAAGAGACAGUGCAGUGUUUAUAACUAAGGGCUAACUCGUUCACAUUUUGCACCAUGAAUAUCCAGUUUCAGACUGAAUUCUCUGAGCAGUGAGAACGCCGCUCUGCUUCAUAUUUCUUCAUUUUACAUCCACAAAUAAACAUUCAGUUUUC